CCUGGUGGCUCAGAUGGUAAAGAAUCUGCCUGUAAUGCAGGAGACCCAGGUUCAAUCCCUGGGUCAGGA
Non-coding RNA from Bos taurus (domestic cattle), 69 nucleotides. The record is from Rfam. Lineage: Eukaryota; Metazoa; Chordata; Mammalia; Artiodactyla; Bovidae.